RNAcentral lists this ribosomal RNA (1461 nucleotides) under uncultured cyanobacterium. RNAcentral describes it as "partial 16S ribosomal RNA". It matches the Rfam family "Bacterial small subunit ribosomal RNA". The record is from RNAcentral. Lineage: Bacteria; Bacillati; Cyanobacteriota.
AGGGUUUGAUUAUGGCGUCAGGAUGAACGCUGGCGGCGUGCUUUACACAUGCAAGUUGAACGAAUUAAAGUUUUCGAAUUUUAGUUAAGUAGCGAACGGGUGAGUAAAACGUAAGAAUCUAUUUUUAGGGGAGGAAUAACUAAUGGAAACGUUAGCUAAUACCUUAUAAACUGAGAAGUGAAAAACUAAAAAUUGCCUAAAAGUGAGCUUGCGCCUGAUUAGCUUGUUGGUAAGAUAUUCGCUUACCAAAGCGACGAUCAGAAGUUGAUCUAAGAGGGUCAUCUACCACACUGGGACUGGAGAUUCGGCCUAGACCUCUACGGAGGGCAGCGGUGAGGAAUUUUCCGCAAUGUGCGAAAGGCUGACGGAGCAAUGCCGCGUGAAGGAUGAAGGCCUAUGGGUCGUAAACUUCUUUUCUUAAUGAAGAAAUAGGACGGUAAUUAAGGAAUAAGCAUCGGCUAACUCCGUGCCAGCAGCCGCGGUAAUACGGAGGAUGCAAGCGUUAUCCGGAAUCAUUGGGCGUAAAGGGUUUGUAGGCUACUUUUUAAGUCUACUGUUAAAGAAUAAGACUUAACCUUAGAAAAGCAGUAUGAAACUAAAAGGAUAGAGUUCAGUAGGGGUAGAGGGAAUUCUCGGUGUAGUAGUGAAAUGCGUAGAUAUCGAGAGGAACACCAAUAGCGAAAGCACUCUACUAGGCUGUAACUGACGCUAAGAAACGAAAGCUAGGGGAGCCAAUGGGAUUAGAUACCCCCAGUAGUCCUAGCUGUAAACGAUGGAUACUAAGUAUUGGAUAAUAAAAAAUUCAGUGCUGUAGCUAACGCGUUAAGUAUCCCGCCUGGGGGAGUAUGCCCGCAAGGGUGGAACUCAAAGGAAUUGACGGGGGGCCCGCACAAGCGGUGGAGCAUGUGGUUUAAUUCGAUGCAACGCGAAAACCCUUACCAGGGUUUGACAUCCCAUAUUUUUUUUCUAGAAAUAGAAAAAUUGACGUGGAGACAGGUGGUGGCAUGGGCUGGUCGUCAGCUCGUGUCGUGGGAUGUUGGGUUAAGUUCCCGUAACGGAGCCGUACCCCUUGGUCUUUAGGUUCGAUAGGUCUAAAGAAACCUGCCCGAUAUAUAAAUCCGGAGGAAGGUGUAGGGAUGAACUUCAAGUCAGCAUGCCCCUUAUAUUCUGGGCGACACACGUGCUACAAUGGUUAAGACAAUGGGAUACAAACUUGUAAAAGGAAGCUAACCUCAAAAACUUAAUCGAAGUUCGGAUUGUCGACUGAAACUCGUCGACAUGAAGCUGGAAUCGCUAGUAAUCGCCGGUCAGCCACACGGCGGUGAAUACGUUCUCGGGCCUUGUACACACCGCCCGUCACGUUAGGGAAGCUGAUUACGCCCGAAGUCAUUAAUUUAACCUUUUGGAGAAAAAUGCCGAAGGCAGAGUGAGUAACUAGAACGAAGUCGUAACAAGGUAACC